Molecule: long non-coding RNA, 792 nt
Organism: Lontra canadensis (Northern American river otter)
Lineage: Eukaryota; Metazoa; Chordata; Mammalia; Carnivora; Mustelidae
Exons: 2
Source: RefSeq, a predicted model, not a curated record
CUCUAACCCAGAGCAGAGAAAUCACAGUCUGCUUUCUUCACCAAACCCUCUAGGACAAUCUCCGUUUCUGUAUGUAUCACCAAAAAUGACAGCCUCCCAUAGUGCUACCCAUAGUAACCCUCUCAGAGGUAGUCCCAGGGGUCCAGGACUGUCACUGCCCUUUUCACUUCUGAAAUCAUGAGUGGCCAUAAGCUCGCGUGCAUGCUUGAAGCUCUUGGAUAAUGUCUGGGUGCUGCUCUAAAGCUUUUUCCUGGCCUCUAAUACUUUGUGAGUUUUUGCCUGUUUGUGGGUGUGGGUUCCUAAUUUUUUCAGGCUGCCCAGGAGAAGAGAGAUUCUCAACCAGUUGGUUUGCAGUUUAUGAUGAUCCGAGCUGAGAGUCCCUUCCUGGGCUUACUGACAAUAACCUGCUUCCUGGCUCCCCUGCUCAGCCACUCUGUCAGUCCCAGAAGUCUCUUUGGCUUUGAGGCUUCUUGUAUCCUGAGACCACAAUGCUCUACCUAGAAUUCAGCCUCUUUAUUUCCAGAGCCCCUUUAAAAGAGUCUUAUGAUAUAAUCAGCAUAAUUUCACCUCCUGAAUUUGGAUGAAUUCUGGGAUAUAAUCAAGAUCAGGCAGUAGACGUCUAAGAUUGAAGGCCAUGGCCUGGAUUAUGGUGAACUCACUAAGGCAAAUAACUCCUAUAAGAUGGUCCUGCAGCAGGCAAUCAAUGCUAUCUUUUGUGAUACCCAGUACUUGCUGUGUAACUUUGAAUUCCUAUAAAUCCAUUAAGGUACCAAUAAAUUUUGUUUCUCAUUG